Molecule: unclassified non-coding RNA, 376 nt
Filed under: soil metagenome
Description: partial contains 5.8S ribosomal RNA, internal transcribed spacer 2, and large subunit ribosomal RNA
Rfam family: 5.8S ribosomal RNA (bases 1-120)
Source: RNAcentral
GAUGAAGAACGCAGCGAAAUGCGAUAAGUAAUGUGAAUUGCAGAAUUCAGUGAAUCAUCGAAUCUUUGAACGCAUCUUGCGCUCCUUGGUAUUCUGAGGAGCAUGCCUGUUUGAGUGUCAUUAAAUUCUCAACUACACUGACUUUGAAUUGGUGUGGCUUGGAUUUGGGGGGAAAAUUGUUGUGGGCUUUUUGUAUAGUCUGCUCCCCUGAAAUUGAUUAGCGGUACCUUUGUGGAACUGUCUACAGGUGUGAUAAUUAUCUACAUCUUAGACAUCUGCUGGAAUGCUGCUUUCUAAACCUUACUUGUAUUGACAAUCUUGACCUCAAAUCAGGUAGGACUACCUGCUGAACUUAAGCAUAUCAAUAAGCGGAGGA